This 694-nucleotide ribosomal RNA is filed under the name uncultured crenarchaeote. Its description in RNAcentral is "bacterial SSU rRNA". It matches the Rfam family "Archaeal small subunit ribosomal RNA", at positions 720 to 1412 of the family's 1478-position model. Lineage: Archaea; Thermoproteati; Thermoproteota. The record is from RNAcentral.
CAAACCGGAUUAGAUACCCGGGUAGUCCCAGCUGUAAACGAUGCAGACUCGGUGAUGCAUUGGCUUGUGGCCAGUGCAGUGCCGCAGGGAAGCCGUUAAGUUUGCCGCCUGGGAAGUACGUACGCAAGUAUGAAACUUAAAGGAAUUGACGGGGGAGCACCACAAGGGGUGAAGCCUGCGGUUCAAUUGGAGUCAACGCCAGAAAUCUUACCCGAGGAGACAGCAGAAUGAAGGUCAAGCUGGAGACUUUACCAGACAAGCUGAGAAGUGGUGCUUGGCCGUCGCCAGCUCGUGCCGUGAGAUGUCCUGUUAAGUCAGGUAACGAGCGAGAUCCCUGCCUCUAGUUGCCACCAUUACUCUCAGGAGUAGUGGGGCGAAUUAGAGGGACCGCCGUAGUUAAUACGGAGGAAGGAAGGGGCCACGGCAGGUCAGUAUGCCCUGAAACCUUGGGGCCACACGCGGGCUGCAAUGGUAGUGACAAUGAGUUUCUAAUCCGAAAGGAGGAGGUAAUCUUCAAACGCUACCACAGUUAUGAUUGAGGGCUGCAACUCGCCCUCAUGAAUAUGGAAUCCCUAGUAACCGCGUGUCAUUACCGCGCAGUGAAUACGUCCCUGCUCCUUGCACACACCGCCCGUCGUUUCAGUUGAGUUUGCUUUUAGGCGAGGUGAUGUCUCAUUGGCGUUAUCGAACUUGA